Molecule: long non-coding RNA, 437 nt
Filed under: Trifolium pratense (red clover)
Lineage: Eukaryota; Viridiplantae; Streptophyta; Magnoliopsida; Fabales; Fabaceae
Description: long non-coding RNA (TPRA_LNC007952)
Source: RNAcentral
CAAGAACAGAACACCGUCAACAAAAAAAAAAUCACUGAAUUUCGAUAGGAACAAAAUCAACAAUCAACAUUGUGCAAUCACUCAUUCAAUCAACAAAACAAUCCAAACAAAAGGGGAAUGUACAAUCACUCCUUCAACCAACAAAACAAUCAGACAGAGAGCGACAAAGCUUACCGGUCGCCGGAGCGUUUCAGAGAGGGAGAAAGCUUCGCCGUCACCGGUGAGACAAGCGUCGCCGGCAGUUACACACACUAGAGUGGGAGGAGAAGCGGAGCAGGUAUACUAUCUGGAUUUUUUCUAGAGAAAUGCUAUAUGUCCCGAAAAAAAAAUAGAUCGCGAAAAACUCACGAAUAGCUUUUAUAUUUUUUUUUCAAUAAAAAUUAAAAAGAAAAUAGGAAGAACAACAAACAACCAAAAAGAACCACCGCCAUGUUUCU